GGAAGUAAAAGUCGUAACAAGAUUUCCGUAGGUGAACCUGCGGAAGGAUCAUUAUUGUAUAACCGAGGUGCGAGGGCUGUCGCUGACCCGAAAGGUCGUGCACGCCCGAGUGCCCUCACACACAUCCAUCUCACCCCUAUGUGCACCACCGCGUGGGUCCCCCUUUGGCUUGUUCGGAGGGGGGCUUACGUUUUCACACAAACUUUGUAUGCAGUGUAGAAUGUAUUUUUGUUUUUGCGAUCACGCAAUCAAUACAACUUUCAACAACGGAUCUCUUGGCUCUC
RNAcentral lists this unclassified non-coding RNA (284 nucleotides) under plant metagenome. Its description in RNAcentral is "partial contains small subunit ribosomal RNA, internal transcribed spacer 1, and 5.8S ribosomal RNA". The stretch from base 1 to 54 matches the Rfam family "Eukaryotic small subunit ribosomal RNA", at positions 1778 to 1831 of the family's 1831-position model. The record is from RNAcentral.